UCGAGCGAGGCCCUGCCUUCGGGUGGGUGUUCUAGCGGCGAACGGGUGAGUAACACGUGGGCAACCUGCCCUCAGCUCUGGGAUAACUCCAAGAAAUUGGGGCUAAUACCGGAUAUGACCGCUGACCGCAUGGUCUGGUGGUGGAAAGAUUUAUCGGCUGGGGAUGGGCCCGCGGCCUAUCAGCUUGUUGGUGGGGUAGUGGCCUACCAAGGCGACGACGGGUAGCCGGCCUGAGAGGGUGACCGGCCACACUGGGACUGAGACACGGCCCAGACUCCUACGGGAGGCAGCAGUGGGGAAUAUUGCGCAAUGGGCGGAAGCCUGACGCAGCGACGCCGCGUGGGGGAUGACGGCCUUCGGGUUGUAAACCUCUUUCAGCAGGGACGAAGCGGAAGUGACGGUACCUGCAGAAGAAGCACCGGCC
RNAcentral lists this ribosomal RNA (424 nucleotides) under bacterium gwi34. Its description in RNAcentral is "bacterial SSU rRNA". It matches the Rfam family "Bacterial small subunit ribosomal RNA", at positions 62 to 498 of the family's 1533-position model. The record is from RNAcentral.